CCGACACAUUCUCCGUCUUUCAUCGGCGCCAAAACAUCACAUAAAUCUAACUCGCUCGCUCACCCGAACCAACUUCACGGCAAUGCGCGCGUCGACCAAUCAGCGGCCGGCGACGCAUCGCCAUGUUGGAUUAGCCGAUCGCAAUGCCCUCUGCCCGAACUAAUGCGAAACGUAGGCUUGUGUUUUCCUUACUGUUUUUGUGUGGUUUUCUUGGUUUUAAAUGGUUUUCUACGUUUAGUUUUCAUUUAAUCAGUGAAUUAUUGCGUGUUAUGGUUUUGUUGGCUGCGAAUUAUAAGUUUGUAUGAUAUUUUCGAGUGAAAACAACAUGUUAAAAUCAAAAGGACGCCACGACGUAUACCUAAAGCUAAGUUCAGUUCGUGCAAUGCUUUACAUGGACUUCUAUUAAAGACGGCGACGUGGGCAGAACAAUGUUAUACCAACCAAAAUAAUGGAUGAACUGACUUUUCAACGACAAGGAAAAAUGAAUCCAAAACUAACACCGCGUAAGUUGAAAAUAGAGCAGCAUGCAGCAAUACGAGCAAAGAACUAAUGUUGGAUGGCAUGAUGAAAUGUGACAGUUCAUUAUGCGGAAGAUAACGGAUAACGGACGGUACAGCAUACAGUGAACAAUUGCAGCGUGAAGAGGGGAGUGGCCGCGGUGUCAGCCCGUGUUGUGAGUGAAAUAUAGCAUUAGCUUCUAAGAAGAUCACCGUGACUUCAAUGCGACGCUUCCACAAAAAGAAAGUCCACACCACGAGGCAGUUGGGAUUCAUAUUUAUCACUUCACAGCUGCGCACCUAUGAUCGAUCUUAUCCAAGAUGGCGGCCGGCGCGCCGCGCGAACAGGCGGGAAACAAGCGCAUGCACACCUCCUCCGCCAUAACAGACCCGUCAAUCUUCCGACAGAUUUGAAAUUAGAACACUUUUAUUCUUUUUUCGAAUGAUACUACCGCAAAAUACGUGCUGUCUCGCGGACGGUUUGCGUUGCACUAAAUUAACAAAAAAGUGCUUAAACGUAUUCAAAACUUGAAAGCCAUAAAACAUAUCUCCCCCAUUAUUAGUUUAUGGCUUGCGACUGUUACGGGCCUAUUAUGCUGUUAUUUUUCUGUGUAUUGGUGUUUGUUUUGGCUGUAUGCGGCGGACUGGCUUACCAAUUUAGGGUACCAUUACAAAAUGCCUCUAUUGAGUAGAGGUCUGUUAACCGUUUUUAAGUGACUCUAUUAUCGUUCUUGUUCUUUAGUUUUUGUUUCCUGUCUAUUGAUUUAUCUUACGUAAUAGUUAAUACUAGGUACGUAUGUAAAUAUAUUUUGAUUUUAAAACAGGUUACAAAACUCUGCCUGACAUAAUUUGUUACAGUAGGUAUUUGAGAUGUAUUUUUUAUUCUUUGCCUUGAUGAUGAAUACUUAAAUUUAGCUAAUAAUUGACUCAAUACGAAAAAAAUAUGACAUCAUUUAAAUACUGAAAUUUAUAAGUUUCAGUUGCAUAAGUGUCGUGUACGUAUUUAGCGAUAAAACAUGGAAUUAAUUCAUUUCUCAUUUUUUAUACAUGAAUUUAUCAAUGUAGCAAUAACUGCAUAACUCCUGAAUAAAUUAAUAUUUUGAUCGAGAUCUAGAAAAAAAGCAUAAAUGCUCAUGGCAGACGGUUACUCGUCUAAGAAAACAUUUUGUAGCGCGCCGCGAAGUAGAGCCACUUUCGUAGCGUUCGAAGUUAGAUGCAUAUUCACAAUACUACGGUAGAUACCUACACGUAAGAAGUACUUGUAUUUAUUUAUGUAUUUGUGCAUCGAAUUCCAAUUAAUUUCAUCGACUUUUCCUAGAACGUUUAAUAUUUGAAUAAUUAGUUAUGUUAUUGACACUCAUUGUUUUGCUUCGUCAAUUGUUUUAAUUUGUACAAGUAAAGAAUAAAGUGGAUGUGAUUUUUAAUGCAAACAUGUAACUCAAAAUCUGCUUUAUAUGUAAUUUUCCCACUGCAUUUGAAUAAUUAGGGCGAAAAUUAAUUAAUAAGCCAUACUCAAUACACAAACUUUGAGAAACCAGAAUAUUUUACAAGUAUGUAACUUGACUAACUUGUGAUUACAAUACCUCAUUUCCCUUUAAUAAUGGUGCAUUUAUAAUCAUUCGGUGCCCACGGCAAUAUUCAGUCGCCAAUUUGGGAACUUGUUUAGAAAUUAUAGGUUCAGCUCUCGCUUGAGGUUAGGUUGUUGCAGGUUUAAAAACUUCGACGUACUGAAAAAUAAGCUCAGGAAUGCAAAUAAAGUUCCUGCUGUAUUGAGUGUGACUAUACGUUAUAGGCACUGUUUAGAAUGAUUGAAAAGACUGAUACGGAAUUGGGUUCCGUAGACCAUGUUUUAUGGCUAGUAAAAAAUGUUGUAGGUCACAUUUUGUAAGGAGUUUUUAUGGUUCAUGAGGUUUGGAAGUCUUGAUGUAGAGAAAAGUUUUUUUUUUUAGUUCAGUUGGUAUGUCUCUUAUAAGGUUCUCUCUGAAUUUAAAAUAAUUUUUUUGCAUACUAGCUUUAACUACUUUUAAUGUUACCAUCUUGCAAAAAUGUUUUCCUUUUCGUGGUCCGCUGUAUUUUGCCUUUGGCUAAUUGCAAGGGUUUGAUUAUUGGAACCAAAACAAAUUGUAUAAAAUAAACGGUUGUAAAUGUAACCGGUAUAUGCAACAAGCAUUUACUGGAGACCAACUUAUUUCCUCUAUUAUUUUGUUAAUUGAAUCAAUUUACUGUCUUUGCUAUUUACUUAAAAUCUUGUUAUUUAUAAUUUUAUUAGCACUAGUUUUAGACUUGUCACCAGUAGGUCAAUUAUUCAUUCGAAGGGAAUUAAUAGUAAAUUGUUAUUAAUUAAUCAAUAUAAAAAUGGAAUAAUUUUAUACUCAAAAUGUUAACUAACUUUUGUAAGAAAAAUUAUUGUAUGUAGUGUUUGUAAGUUUGUGACUUUUGACAAUUAUAAAAUUCGAUUUUUUUACAGGUAUGUUAGCAUGGGAGUAUAGGCACGUGACAUUUUUUCGCGAACCACAACACAGGUCGGCAGAUCGUGUUCGCAUCGGACAGCGGACGCCGGACAGCCGGACAAGCCCGAACUUUUCAUACAACCCACGUCCAACGUCCAACAAGCGUCCUUGUAUUGUUUCGCGGCCCGCGUUGCGUGAACACCGAGUGAAAUAUGGCCGACGGUUCGACUACUUAUUUUUGUUUUAUUUUUUUAGCCCGUGUUACUUAAUUUUAUCAAGUCGCAUGAGUUAUGAGAGGCGAGACCACACGCGUUGCGUUAAUUACGCGUUAGUUAAUGUACAGGUGAGUCGCUCCACGCUGCGAUCGUGAUUGAUUCGAAUGCCAUGAUUCCAUCUUUGAAAAAUCCUAUUCCAUAUUUUCUAUUUCUAACCAGUUAUUAAAUGCAAUGUUCCAAAUUGAUUUUGAAAGAAACAUCUCUAUUCUAAAUCAUGCUUCCAAUUUGUCUGUUUCAAAAAGAUUCUAAUAAGCUGUAUAAGGAAUUUUGUUUAGUGUUUGUUAUUGGCGGUAAUAAAUACAUAAGCGUUUAGAUUCCAUGCGGCGUCUUUUACCAGACCAGUAAAGUUUUCGUCAGAGGGCCAUUAGUCUGUAUAAAUUAUCUAGUGCCGGGCUUUCAUCUUAAGAAUCGGAGGCAUAAUCGAGUGGUCAUUUGUCGAGUGGUCAGUGGCACUCCUCAAGUUAAUAAUAAUGCGCCCAAACUAGAUCGGGCCAUUGACCCGGGCGCUCGGCGCGGGCGCGGCGAGCACUCCCGCCAUAAUUUGGAGCGCUAAAAUGCUACUGAAGACGUUUAACCGAGAUCGUGCGCUUGAUCAGUAGCGAUUUUAUCGAUAUCAUAAAACAUAAUCGAUGUUAACACAAAAUAUGUAGGUGCUAAAAAUAGGAUUCUUAGUCAUUAAUAUCUGAUAGAUUCAUUAUUGUGGGCAAUAAAGAAGAUGUUAUGAUCGUUAUAAUUGCGCAAAGUUUACGAUUCGAAUAUUAUGUUUUCAACAUUAUCAUUUAAUUCACUUUUGCGAUAUAUUUCAAUCGAAUCUCUUUUAAUGCUUUAGAAAGUGUAAUUUUAAUUUUCUAAUGUAGAAAGUUAAUUGAACAUUUAAAAAAUACUUGAAACCAAAUAAAUGAAGCUUUCAGCGGUAGCUAAGUUUAGUAUGUUAACAGAGCCUUGUACUGUACUUGAAGUAAAUUUACAGGUUGUCCGCCCAAUGCUAACGACCAACACAUUAAACCUCUGGUUGACUCUACAAACAUUCUCUAGAUUAAAUCAAGUGACUGUCUUUUUAGCUAUUUAAUUUAUUUAUUUUAUUUUAACAUUUAGAUGAUCAGUAAAUGGUUAAAAAUAUGAAAACUUAAUUUGAUUAUGAAUAUAUCACAUUGAAGUGAAAAAAUAAGACUAAAUUAAAAUAGUUUAUAGUGCUUCAAAGUGUGGACACUAUUAAUCGGUGAUAAAAUAAAUAACUUUUAAUUGUCAGUUGUAACAUUAAGUAGUACAUAAAUGACAAAAAAUCACAUUAAACUACAAUAUCUAUCAAAUCAUUGAAAUAUAAAGCUCCAAAUAAAAUAAAACCAGCCAUAAAACUCUGAUCAAAUUAACUCAAUCUCUACGUUUAUUUAUUUUUUAUUGUCACAAAUUAGUAAUUUAAUGAAGAUUCCAAGACUUGAUGGCAACAAUAAAAUUAUGAAUGGCACUCAAAUCUGUCUUGACUAAUAAGGUGCUAACGAGGGUCGUUCGUUUUAUGUGCGUUUUAUUGACACUUGAGUCGAGUUGUCGGCUCUCUACCUGCCACCGCGGUUCUUAUUGGUUUCCUACGAGACAUGAAUGGGAAUUUCUGAUUCCAACUCGCGCUUCAAUCAGAUAGCGGCAUUUUAGAGCUUUUAUACUAUAACAAUAUUAGUCGAUGAAUGUUACACAUUUUUAUUACAUAUUAUUGAGCAAUUAAAAUUUUGUUUUGGGCAGGUAAUUGCUCUUUGAUUUCUCGAUUUUUGUCAAAUUAAGGAUUGUAUAAUGAUUAGAUAUGCAUUUGAGCUUCAUUAAUUUUUAACUAGUUUAUGGGGGCUGUUAAAG
Long non-coding RNA from Trichoplusia ni (cabbage looper), 5064 nucleotides. RefSeq lists it as uncharacterized. The record is from RefSeq and is a predicted model, not a curated record. NCBI's taxonomy places the organism in Eukaryota, Metazoa, Arthropoda, Insecta, Lepidoptera, Noctuidae. The transcript has 4 exons.